GAUGAACGCUGGCGGCGUGCCUAAUACAUGCAAGUCGAGCGAACGGACGAGAAGCUUGCUUCUCUGAUGUUAGCGGCGGACGGGUGAGUAACACGUGGAUAACCUACCUAUAAGACUGGGAUAACUUCGGGAAACCGGAGCUAAUACCGGAUAAUAUUUUGAACCGCAUGGUUCAAAAGUGAAAGACGGUCUUGCUGUCACUUAUAGAUGGAUCCGCGCUGCAUUAGCUAGUUGGUAAGGUAACGGCUUACCAAGGCAACGAUGCAUAGCCGACCUGAGAGGGUGAUCGGCCACACUGGAACUGAGCCACGGUCCAGACUCCUACGGGAGGCAGCAGUAGGGAAUCUUCCGCAAUGGGCGAAAGCCUGACGGAGCAACGCCGCGUGAGUGAUGACGGUCUUCGGAUCGUAAAACUCUGUUAUGAGGGAAGAACAUAUGUGUAAGUAACUGUGCACAUCUUGACGGUACCUAAUCAGAAAGCCACGGCUAACUACGUG
Molecule: ribosomal RNA, 497 nt
Filed under: uncultured bacterium
Lineage: Bacteria
Description: partial 16S ribosomal RNA
Rfam family: Bacterial small subunit ribosomal RNA
Source: RNAcentral